GCCUAUAAUGUCUGAAGUAGUAAAGAUGCUUGAAGGCCGAGCUCCUGUUCCUGAAUUGGUUGUGACUCCAGGUAUGUACGGUGAACAAUUGGAAUUUGGAGGCAUAAGGAACAAGUUUGAUCCAAAUUCGCUUCAUAGUUCAAGCAAAACUCAGUCUCUCAUUCAGUCAUCAGAUGCACCAUGGACUGCCUAAUCUUCUACAUCUGGCCAGGAUCUUAAUCCAUUUAAUCCUGAUUCGCAGUAAUUUUUAACUUCAUCCUGCAGUCAACUUUCAUGAUGCGUAAGAUUUUGGAUUUCAUAUGAAUACUAUAAUUUAUGUAAGUGGAUAAUUUACAAUCUAACACGUGCUAUCUGACGUCAAUUUGUAUAACCACCCAACAGUCAAAUGUUAGUAAUAACACUGAUGCUUGUCUUUGUAUACUCAAUAAAAAUAAAGAUUAUAAAUUUCUGAG
Molecule: unclassified non-coding RNA, 452 nt
Filed under: Hevea brasiliensis (rubber tree)
Lineage: Eukaryota; Viridiplantae; Streptophyta; Magnoliopsida; Malpighiales; Euphorbiaceae
Source: RNAcentral